UACGGGGGGGGCAAGCGUUGUUCGGAAUUACUGGGCGUAAAGGGCUCGUAGGUGGCCAACUAAGUCAGACGUGAAAUCCCUCGGCUUAACCGGGGAACUGCGUCUGAUACUGGAUGGCUCGAGUUUGGGAGAGGGAUGCGGAAUUCCAGGUGUAGCGGUGAAAUGCGUAGAUAUCUGGAGGAACACCGGUGGCGAAGGCGGCAUCCUUGACCGAAACUGACGCUGAGGAGCGAAAGCCAGGGGAGCAAACGGG
RNAcentral lists this ribosomal RNA (253 nucleotides) under uncultured bacterium. RNAcentral's name for it is "partial 16S ribosomal RNA". It matches the Rfam family "Bacterial small subunit ribosomal RNA", at positions 524 to 776 of the family's 1533-position model. The record is from RNAcentral.